Molecule: transfer RNA, 73 nt
Filed under: Caudoviricetes sp.
Lineage: Duplodnaviria; Heunggongvirae; Uroviricota; Caudoviricetes
Description: tRNA-Leu
Rfam family: tRNA
About the family: Transfer RNA (tRNA) molecules are approximately 80 nucleotides in length.
Source: RNAcentral
GUUCAUCUGGUGUAAAGAGAGGUAGCACACCCGGGCAAAUCGGGAGGUGUGGGUUCGAAUCCCACAAUGAGCA